GAUGGCGUGGCGGCGGAAGUGCGUGGCCGUCUCGUGCGAGGUCUGGUCGAAGAACCCGCCGUUGUCCGCGGGCUCGGGCUCGCUGCCGUCUCC
RNAcentral lists this transfer RNA (93 nucleotides) under Lentzea pudingi. RNAcentral's name for it is "tRNA-Thr". Lineage: Bacteria; Bacillati; Actinomycetota; Actinomycetes; Pseudonocardiales; Pseudonocardiaceae. The record is from RNAcentral.